Xenopus laevis (African clawed frog) is the source of this 71-nucleotide non-coding RNA. Lineage: Eukaryota; Metazoa; Chordata; Amphibia; Anura; Pipidae. The record is from Rfam.
UGUAGGGUGUCAAUGAAACCGUUACCAUUACUGAGUUUAGUAAUGGUAAGGGUUCUGUUGCUGCUCUUCCA